UACAGAGGGGGCAAGCGUUAUUCGGAAUUAUUGGGCGUAAAGGGCGCGUAGGCGGCUUCGCAAGUGGGAGGUGAAAUCCCACGGCUCAACCGUGGAACUGCCUCGGAUACUGGCGGCCUCGAGGGAGGUAGGGGCGUGCGGAACUGUGGGUGGAGCGGUGAAAUGCGUUGAUAUCCACAGGAACUCCGGUGGCGAAGGCGGCACGCUGGACCUCUUCUGACGCUGAGGCGCGAAAGCCAGGGGAGCAAACGGG
RNAcentral lists this ribosomal RNA (253 nucleotides) under uncultured bacterium. Its description in RNAcentral is "partial 16S ribosomal RNA". It matches the Rfam family "Bacterial small subunit ribosomal RNA", at positions 524 to 776 of the family's 1533-position model. The record is from RNAcentral.